Molecule: non-coding RNA, 329 nt
Organism: Carica papaya (papaya)
Lineage: Eukaryota; Viridiplantae; Streptophyta; Magnoliopsida; Brassicales; Caricaceae
Source: RefSeq, a predicted model, not a curated record
CAUGCAUCACCUCUUAACCAAGCUUGUUUACUUCUAUUAGUGAGAGUGUCUUGAAUCAGGUAAUGCCUCGACUAAUUCCGGUCAGUUUAAGGUGGCUCUUUUGUGCAAAGGGGCGCUACAUGCCUGAUAAUUGAUGCCAUGCAUCAUCAUUUUCCAAUUUUCUGAUGUUGUGAUAUGUGAUCUGUCAUUUGUGUGGUAAUAAACACGAUUAAACGGGAUUUGUACGUAGUAUUUGUGAAUUUUGUGAUUUCUCUUUAAGAUAUCUUACAUGAUGUGCUUGAACCCUGUAUGCAGGGAUAUUGAACCAAAUACCCAAUAUCUUUUCUUAA